CUCGGGUGGCAUCUUCUGGGCCAGUGCUCCUGCUCUCGGCUCAGGUGGCAGGAAGCACCCACGGUCCUUGGCAAAAGGGUGUCAGGUCCCCAGGGCUGGCCCAGCAUGAGGGGGAGAGGUAGAGCGUGAGCGU
Molecule: non-coding RNA, 133 nt
Organism: Tinamus guttatus (white-throated tinamou)
Lineage: Eukaryota; Metazoa; Chordata; Aves; Tinamiformes; Tinamidae
Source: RefSeq, a predicted model, not a curated record